RNAcentral lists this unclassified non-coding RNA (291 nucleotides) under Hevea brasiliensis (rubber tree). The record is from RNAcentral. Lineage: Eukaryota; Viridiplantae; Streptophyta; Magnoliopsida; Malpighiales; Euphorbiaceae.
AUAAAGGUAGCAAUAUAGAUACUAUCAGUCUUGUUUAGUCAGGUUCUUUUGGGAUAAUUUUGAUGGAUUUUAUUUGAAUUUGAUUGCUUUUCCUUUAGCUCUAGUUCUAUAGUUUUCUACUUUUCCUUUUAAUUCUGGUAGGAUGAAACUACUGGUCUCUAGGAUUUUCCAUUCAAUAACUCUAAUUCACAAAAGUACGAAUAAAAUAGUAAUUCACUAGGCUAUGAAAUGACUAUUUUUCACUUAUGUUUUUUUAAUAUCAUACUAUUCCAUGUUAUUGCAUAAACCAAA